Molecule: ribosomal RNA, 253 nt
Filed under: uncultured bacterium
Lineage: Bacteria
Description: partial 16S ribosomal RNA
Rfam family: Bacterial small subunit ribosomal RNA
Source: RNAcentral
UACGUAGGGUGCAAGCGUUGUCCGGAAUUAUUGGGCGUAAAGAGCUCGUAGGCGGUCUGUCGCGUCUGGUGUGAAAAUCCAGGGCUUAACCCUGGACCUGCAUCGGGUACGGGCAGACUAGAGUGCGGUAGGGGAGAUCGGAAUUCCUGGUGUAGCGGUGAAAUGCGCAGAUAUCAGGAGGAACACCGGUGGCGAAGGCGGGUCUCUGGGCCGAUACUGACGCUGAGGAGCGAAAGCGUGGGGAGCAAACAGG